This 489-nucleotide ribosomal RNA is filed under the name uncultured bacterium. RNAcentral describes it as "bacterial SSU rRNA". It matches the Rfam family "Bacterial small subunit ribosomal RNA", at positions 28 to 517 of the family's 1533-position model. The record is from RNAcentral.
GAUGAACGCUAGCGGCAGGCCUAACACAUGCAAGUCGAGGGGUAGAAGGAGCUUGCUCCUUUGAGACCGGCGCACGGGUGCGUAACGCGUAUGCAAUCUACCUUGUACAGGGGAAUAGCCCAGAGAAAUUUGGAUUAAUGCCCCAUAGUAUAUAACCUUCGCAUGUUGGUUAUAUUAAAGUUCCAACGGUACAAGAUGAGCAUGCGUCCCAUUAGUUAGUUGGUAAGUAACGGCUUACCAAGACGAUGAUGGGUAGGGGUCCUGAGAGGGAGAUCCCCCACACUGGUACUGAGACACGGACCAGACUCCUACGGGAGGCAGCAGUGAGGAAUAUUGGUCAAUGGUCGCAAGACUGAACCAGCCAUGCCGCGUGCAGGAAGACGGUCCUAUGGAUUGUAAAACUGCUUUUAUACAGGAAGAAACCCUCCCAGUGUGGGAGCUUGACGGUACUGUAGGAAUAAGGAUCGGCUAACUCCGUGCCAGCAGCCG